RNAcentral lists this long non-coding RNA (298 nucleotides) under Trifolium pratense (red clover). Its description in RNAcentral is "long non-coding RNA (TPRA_LNC009807)". Lineage: Eukaryota; Viridiplantae; Streptophyta; Magnoliopsida; Fabales; Fabaceae. The record is from RNAcentral.
GUCAAUGACCAUAAUAGAAAACAAUUCAAACCGGGAAGGGUUAGCUAAUGAAGAGCUUUGCAUAGAAACUGAUUAUUUAGCUAUUCUUGACAGCACUUAUGUUGUUUGGCUACUUUGUUCUCAAUUUAGUUAUGUAAACAUCUUGGUGCUAAUCCGUUGAGGUGUAUAAUUUUAUUUUUUCAAUUUUUAGUGCAACUUAUACAGUGGAAUUGUUGACUGGAAAAUAUUCUAUAUAAGUAUAUUUUAAGAUUGUUUUAAGUCUUUUCCUAAAAGUGAAGGGAAUGAAUUUCAAGUUAUC